This 490-nucleotide ribosomal RNA is filed under the name uncultured bacterium. RNAcentral describes it as "partial 16S ribosomal RNA". It matches the Rfam family "Bacterial small subunit ribosomal RNA", at positions 30 to 507 of the family's 1533-position model. The record is from RNAcentral.
AUUGAACGCUGGCGGCAGGCCUAACACAUGCAAGUCGAACGGUAACAGGAAGCAGCUUGCUGCUUUGCUGACGAGUGGCGGACGGGUGAGUAAUGUCUGGGAAACUGCCUGAUGGAGGGGGAUAACUACUGGAAACGGUAGCUAAUACCGCAUAACGUCGCAAGACCAAAGAGGGGGACCUUCGGGCCUCUUGCCAUCGGAUGUGCCCAGAUGGGAUUAGCUAGUAGGUGGGGUAACGGCUCACCUAGGCGACGAUCCCUAGCUGGUCUGACAGGAUGACCAGCCACACUGGAACUGAGACACGGUCCAGACUCCUACGGGAGGCAGCAGUGGGGAAUAUUGCACAAAGGGCGCAAGCCUGAUGCAGCCAUGCCGCGUGUAUGAAGAAGGCCUUCGGGUUGUAAAGUACUUUCAGCGGGGAGGAAGGGAGUAAAGUUAAUACCUUUGCUCAUUGACGUUACCCGCAGAAGAAGCACCGGCUAACUCCGUG